GCUGUAAACAAUGAAAACUUUGCACGUGUUGCUGUUAAACAUAAGCUCCAUGUGCAUCUUCGGCAUGGGUCAAGUGCUCUGGAAAAGCAGGUGUGCUAUCUUGUUCCUUUUGUAGCAAAGCAGUCUCAUUGGUGUUUUCUUAUUUAACUUGCCUAAGUUGCUUUUUUCAAUGUUGACAUUUUGAGGACUUGUAUAUCAGAUUCGUGAUUUUGUGAAGGA
RNAcentral lists this unclassified non-coding RNA (219 nucleotides) under Hevea brasiliensis (rubber tree). The record is from RNAcentral. Lineage: Eukaryota; Viridiplantae; Streptophyta; Magnoliopsida; Malpighiales; Euphorbiaceae.